Long non-coding RNA from Peromyscus eremicus (cactus mouse), 1590 nucleotides. RefSeq lists it as uncharacterized. Lineage: Eukaryota; Metazoa; Chordata; Mammalia; Rodentia; Cricetidae. The transcript has 5 exons. The record is from RefSeq and is a predicted model, not a curated record.
AAAGCGACCCGUUUGCAGCUGCGCACUGCGAUGAGGUGCGCGGUGGCUGGGAGAGGGUUCUCCCUCUGUAGGCGGCUGAAGCCCUUCCGGGCGGAAGAAGGUGGAGUUGCUGAUCCGCGUAUCCGGGAGUGCGGGGGAAAGAUGCCGGGGUUUGAGCCGCAGGAUUCCCUGUUAGUUGUGAUCCCUCUCUUCCUGGAGAAGAACAGGAAACCUUUGAUUUAGGACCCACAGAAAUCCUGACUUAACUUGAUCAUAUCUGCAAAGAUUCUGUCUCCAAAUGAAGGCCUGACGUUCUUGACUUACGUGGAGUUUUUGGAACACCAUUCAGUCCAUGAGUGAGAAGGCAGACGACGACAAUGAUGACAGAGUACUGCUCCAGAACUAGACACACAGGACGGCGUCACACCAGGGCUAGUCUUGAUGCUUUUGAAAGGCCUUUCCAUCUCACAGGAAGACUCCCUUAGGAGCUCAUUAGACCAAAGUGCUUGACAAGCUGGAAAAGAAGCUCUUGGACCCACAGAGGCGAAGUCGUGGGGGACACUUGACACAGUCCCAGGGUCCACGUUAGGAACCCCACUGAAGUGGCAGAGCUUACUAAAAACACAGGUUCUGAACAUGUGCCCUGACUUUAGGAAAGACCACCUGGAGAUGUAACCAGCAUUCACAAUGUGAUACACGCAUUCAGAGACAAGACCAACAUCUGCUACUGAACACACAAAAGACCACCCAGGGGUACGACUGGCAUCUUGGAAGCCUGUGAACAGAACAUCCAGAAACAAUACUGGAACCAGCACCUAGGCAAGGGGUUUGUAUCCAGACUGCAUCGCCACGCACUUCCUCUUUCCUUACUGUAUUCCUCCCUUGUUUGAUGUCUGACAUCAUUUGAGUGGACCAGCUUGGUUCGCUCUGACCUCAUUCCUUCUUUUCCCCUUUCCUUCCUGCCUUUUGGAUAGGCUUUCCCAAAGAACGCAGGCUGGCCUGGAGUUGGGGGUGUCUGUGCCUCAGCCUCUUGAGAGCUGGGACUGUGUGAGGCUGUCUGGUUGUGUUUCUUUCCUUUCUCUCUUUUCACUCCGACUUCAGUAUCAUCUCCUUCCCAUGCCUCUGUUGUUCCUCCCUGCGUUUUUCCUCCUCUAUUUCUUUCUCUGUUAUUCUAAUAAUUAUUGCUAGACUUACUUUGCAUAUUUCCUUAUUAUUUAUAUCCUCAGUAACUACUGUCUUGGAGCACACAGUACUAUUUGGGUUCUUUUACUUCCUAAAACUACUGAAGUUGAAGGGGUGACAGUGUUUUAAGUGACUGGCAUUCUACUCUCUGAACAGUCCUGAAAAUUGAACUUGUUGCUCUGAGCAUGUGGCUUGAAAGUCUAACUACUGAACUACCCCUGAUCUAUCAGAGAAACAACAUCUUAAGCCUAUUAUGACUUAGUCUUAUUUGAACAUUGCAAACAUUUCCACUAAAUAAACAUGAGUUAUUAAGGAAGGAAAUCCAACAACAAUUUAAUCCGGGUUGUUAGAGUCCCAGUGCAAAAAACACAAGAAACAUGAAAGACCAAGGCAACGUGACUUCUCCAAAAAUUACUAAUCCCACAGUAA